UAGGGAAUCUUCGGCAAUGGACGAAAGUCUGACCGAGCAACGCCGCGUGGGUGAAGAAGGUUUUCGGCUCGUAAAACACUGUUGUAAGAGAAGAAUGACAUUGAGAGUAACUGUUCAAUGUGUGACGGUAUCUUACCAGAAAGGAACGGCUAAAUACGCGCCAG
RNAcentral lists this ribosomal RNA (164 nucleotides) under uncultured bacterium. RNAcentral describes it as "partial 16S rRNA". It matches the Rfam family "Bacterial small subunit ribosomal RNA", at positions 355 to 511 of the family's 1533-position model. The record is from RNAcentral.